This 303-nucleotide ribosomal RNA is filed under the name uncultured bacterium. RNAcentral describes it as "partial 16S ribosomal RNA". It matches the Rfam family "Bacterial small subunit ribosomal RNA", at positions 507 to 807 of the family's 1533-position model. The record is from RNAcentral.
AGCAGUCGCCGCGGUAAUACGGAGGGGGCUAGCGUUGUUCGGAAUUACUGGGCGUAAAGCGCACGUAGGCGGCUUGGUAAGUUAGAGGUGAAAGCCCGGAGCUCAACUCCGGAAUUGCCUUUAAGACUGCCGAGCUAGCAGGUGAGAGAGGUAAGUGGAAUUCCGAGUGUAGAGGUGAAAUUCGUAGAUAUUCGGAAGAACACCAGUGGCGAAGGCGGCUUACUGGCUCAUACUGGACGCUGAGGUGCGAAAGCGUGGGGAGCAAACAGGAUUAGAUACCCCGGUAGUCCCUGUCUCUUAUAC